UCCGGUUUGUCACCGGCAGUCUCGUUAAAGUGCCCAACUAAAUGAUGGCAAUUAGCGAUAAGGGUUGCGCUCGUUGCGGGACUUAACCCAACAUCUCACGACACGAGCUGACGACAGCCAUGCAGCACCUGUGUCCCGGUUCCCUUUCGGGCACCAAGGCAUCUCUGCCAAGUUCCGGGCAUGUCAAGGGUAGGUAAGGUUUUUCGCGUUGCAUCGAAUUAAUCCACAUAAUCCACCGCUUGUGCGGGUCCCCGUCAAUUCCUUUGAGUUUUAACCUUGCGGCCGUACUCCCCAGGCGGUCAACUUCACGCGUUAGCUACGGUACCAAGGAAUCGCUUCCCCAACACCCAGUUGACAUCGUUUAGGGCGUGGACUAC
This 377-nucleotide unclassified non-coding RNA is filed under the name uncultured Gammaproteobacteria bacterium. RNAcentral describes it as "contains 16S-23S intergenic spacer region". Lineage: Bacteria; Pseudomonadati; Pseudomonadota; Gammaproteobacteria. The record is from RNAcentral.